CUUUCUUUGCUGGCGACCGGCGCACGGGUGAGUAACACGUAUCCAACCUGCCCUUUACUCGGGGAUAGCCUUUCGAAAGAAAGAUUAAUACCCGAUAGUAUAAUGAUUCCGCAUGGUUUCAUUAUUAAAGGAUUCCGGUAAAGGAUGGGGAUGCGUUCCAUUAGGUUGUUGGUGAGGUAACGGCUCACCAAGCCUUCGAUGGAUAGAGGUUCUGAGAGGAAGGUCCCCCACAUUGGAACUGAGACACGGUCCAA
RNAcentral lists this ribosomal RNA (254 nucleotides) under uncultured bacterium. Its description in RNAcentral is "partial 16S ribosomal RNA". It matches the Rfam family "Bacterial small subunit ribosomal RNA", at positions 79 to 334 of the family's 1533-position model. The record is from RNAcentral.